This is a long non-coding RNA of Thunnus maccoyii (southern bluefin tuna), 589 nucleotides long. RefSeq lists it as uncharacterized. The record is from RefSeq and is a predicted model, not a curated record. The transcript is spliced from 3 exons. NCBI's taxonomy places the organism in Eukaryota, Metazoa, Chordata, Actinopteri, Scombriformes, Scombridae.
UCUAAUGGACCUGUUAGCUGUUCUGUCAUCAGCCUUGGACCAUCAGCCACAGAGGACACAUACUAGACACAUGCCGUGGUCAACACGUUGAUGUGGAGUAUGUGCUCCCAAACUGUUUGUGCAGCCGCAGAAAUUCCGGGGUUGCUUGAGCUCAUGGUCCAAACCCUCACACAAAAGGAGAAGAUUAUAGGAAGAGUGGAAAAACAAAACUAAUUACUCGAGGUAUUUCAACCAGCCAAUGCUGCUUAAAAUGUAAUUACAUGGGUUUAGAGCUCUGGCUGAGGCUGGGGUGGCUGCAAAUCUCACAUUGGCAGACCUGUCCCUGGUGUAAAAUCUGACUGCCGCUGAAAAUGACAGCAGGAGAAAGACCUGGUCUGGACGAGGAGAUUAGUAUCCUGUCACCAUCGUCCACUUGAAAAAGAACAGUGGAAAAGAAGUUGAACUGAACUUGAUCAACAAAGUUAUACCCCCACAACACACAAAAGGGUUUUUGAUACAGAAAUAUCCUCAUGUUUAUGGAUAUUGUACACUCUAAAGAGGUCCAAUAUCAUAUUAUGUCAUCUAUUUUUACAAGUUUUUAUAUGAUUGU